CCUACGGGAGGCAGCAGUGAGGAAUAUUGGUCAAUGGGCGAGAGCCUGAACCAGCCAAGUCGCGUGAGGGAGUACUGCCCUAUGGGUUGUAAACCUCUUUUGUCGGGGAGCAAAAGCCGGACGUGUCCGGCUGUGAGAGUACCCGAAGAAAAAGCAUCGGCUAACUCCGUGCCAGCAGCCGCGGUAAUACGUAGGGAGCAAGCGUUAUCCGGAUUUACUGGGUGUAAAGGGCGUGUAGGCGGGCAUGUAAGCCAGAAGUGAAAUCUGGGGGCUUAACCCCCAAACUGCUUUUGGAACUGCGUGUCUUGAGUGAUGGAGAGGCAGGCGGAAUUCCCAGUGUAGCGGUGAAAUGCGUAGAUAUUGGGAGGAACACCAGUGGCGAAGGCGGCCUGCUGGACAUUAACUGACGCUGAGGCGCGAAAGCGUGGGGAGCAAACAGGAUUAGAUACCCCAGUAGUC
RNAcentral lists this ribosomal RNA (459 nucleotides) under uncultured bacterium. RNAcentral describes it as "partial 16S ribosomal RNA". It matches the Rfam family "Bacterial small subunit ribosomal RNA", at positions 338 to 795 of the family's 1533-position model. The record is from RNAcentral.